Molecule: ribosomal RNA, 157 nt
Filed under: Dudleya viscida
Lineage: Eukaryota; Viridiplantae; Streptophyta; Magnoliopsida; Saxifragales; Crassulaceae
Also listed under: 17 other names
Description: 5.8S ribosomal RNA
Rfam family: 5.8S ribosomal RNA
About the family: 5.8S ribosomal RNA (5.8S rRNA) is a component of the large subunit of the eukaryotic ribosome.
Source: RNAcentral
CAACGGAUAUCUCGGCUCUCGCAUCGAUGAAGAACGUAGCAAAAUGCGAUACUUGGUGUGAAUUGCAGAAUCCCGCGAAUCAUCGAGUCUUUGAACGCAAGUUGCGCCCGAAGCCUUUAGGCCGAGGGCACGUCUGCCUGGGCGUCAUGCACUGCGA